AUGUGUCACUGUGCAAAUAACAGCCUCCUUGGCUCCCCUGCCCCUCUUAAUAAACCUUCACCCUUCUCUCCUGCAUCUGCGGGCCUUGGUCGAGCAGCAUACAUGCAGAAGAUAGCAAUCUCUUCUUCACAUCAACUAGUAAGCUAAUGUUUAAGUGUCCUUGAUGUUUUUGGAUCCAACCAAGAAAAAAUUGUAGCUAUAUGCAGGCAGUUACUUGGGGAGAGUUAGCCUUCAGUCCCUGAUAGAACCUUCCAAAGUUCAUUGCUCAAUUGAUUUGGAAUUUGAAAUGUAUUUUGUCAUGUAAAUAGUAGGUAA
This 315-nucleotide long non-coding RNA is filed under the name Bos taurus (domestic cattle). RNAcentral describes it as "long non-coding RNA NONBTAT026582". The record is from RNAcentral. Lineage: Eukaryota; Metazoa; Chordata; Mammalia; Artiodactyla; Bovidae.